This is a small nuclear RNA of Callithrix jacchus (white-tufted-ear marmoset), 104 nucleotides long. The record is from Ensembl. Lineage: Eukaryota; Metazoa; Chordata; Mammalia; Primates; Cebidae.
GCUUGCUUCAGCAAACAUAAACUAAAAUUGGAACAAAACAGAGAAGAUUAGCAUGGCCCCUGUUCAAGGAUGACAUGCAAAUUCGUGAAGCAUUUUAUAUUUUU